Molecule: ribosomal RNA, 903 nt
Filed under: uncultured bacterium
Lineage: Bacteria
Description: bacterial SSU rRNA
Rfam family: Bacterial small subunit ribosomal RNA
Source: RNAcentral
AGAGUUUGAUCCUGGCUCAGAUUGAACGCUGGCGGCAGGCCUAACACAUGCAAGUCGAGCGGGGGUAGCAAUGCCCUAGCGGCGAACGGGUGAGGAAUGCUAGGGAAUCUGCCUCGUAGUGGGGGAUAACGUUCCGAAAGGAACGCUAAUACCGCAUACGUCCUACGGGAGAAAGGGGGGGAUCUUCGGACCUCUCGCUAUGAGAUGAGCCCAAGCGGGAUUAGCUAGUUGGUGAGGUAAAGGCUCACCAAGGCUACGAUCCCUAGCUGGUCUGAGAGGAUGAUCAGCCACACUGGAACUGAGACACGGUCCAGACUCCUACGGGAGGCAGCAGUGGGGAAUAUUGGACAAUGGGCGAAAGCCUGAUCCAGCCAUGCCGCGUGUGUGAAGAAGGCCUUCGGGUUGUAAAGCACUUUAAGCGAGGAGGAAGGUUCGUUACUUAAUACGUAACGGAAUUGACGUUACUCGCAGAAUAAGCACCGGCUAACUCUGUGCCAGCAGCCGCGGUAAUACAGAGGGUGCAAGCGUUAAUCGGAAUUACUGGGCGUAAAGCGCGCGUAGGCGGUUGUGUAAGUUGGAGGUGAAAUCCCCGGGCUCAACCUGGGCAUUGCCUUCAAAACUGCACGGCUAGAGUAUGGGAGAGGAAGGUAGAAUUCCAGGUGUAGCGGUGAAAUGCGUAGAGAUCUGGAGGAAUACCGAUGGCGAAGGCAGCCUUCUGGCCUAAUACUGACGCUGAGGUGCGAAAGCAUGGGGAGCAAACAGGAUUAGAUACCCUGGUAGUCCAUGCCGUAAACGAUGUCAACUAGGUGUUGGGGAACUUGAUUCCUUAGUGCCGCAGCUAACGCAUUAAGUUGACCGCCUGGGGAGUACGGUCGCAAGACUAAAACUCAAAUGAAUUGACGG